AAACUUUUAACAACGGAUCUCUUGGUUCUGGCAUCGAUGAAGAACGCAGCGAAAUGCGAUAAGUAAUGUGAAUUGCAGAAUUCAGUGAAUCAUCGAAUCUUUGAACGCACAUUGCGCCCGCCGGCAUUCUGGCGGGCAUGCCUGUUCGAGCGUCAUUUC
RNAcentral lists this ribosomal RNA (159 nucleotides) under Colletotrichum gloeosporioides. Its description in RNAcentral is "5.8S ribosomal RNA". It matches the Rfam family "5.8S ribosomal RNA". From Rfam's summary of the family: 5.8S ribosomal RNA (5.8S rRNA) is a component of the large subunit of the eukaryotic ribosome. It is transcribed by RNA polymerase I as part of the 45S precursor that also contains 18S and 28S rRNA. Functionally, it is thought that 5.8S rRNA may be involved in ribosome translocation. The record is from RNAcentral. Lineage: Eukaryota; Fungi; Ascomycota; Sordariomycetes; Glomerellales; Glomerellaceae.